GAUGAACGCUGGCGGCGUGCCUAAUACAUGCAAGUCGAGCGAACGGACCAUACUCUUGCUUCUCUGAUGUUACCGGCGGACGGGUGAGUCACACGUGGAUUACCUACCUAUACGACUUGGAUAACUUCGGGAAACCGUAGCUCAUACCGGAUACUCUUUUUAUCCUCAUUGUUCAAAAGUUUUUUCCGUUCUUGCUGUCACUUCUAGAUGUAUCCUCGCUGCAUUAGAUAGUUGGUACGGUAACGGCUUACCAAGGCAACGAUGCAUAGCCGACCUGAGAGGGUGAACGGGCACACAGGAAGUGAGACACGGUACAGAGACAGAGGGGAGGCAGAAGUAGGGAAUGUACGGAAAAGGGCGAAAGACUGAAGGAGCAGCGCAGGGUGAGUGAUGAAGGGAUGCGGAUCGGAAAAAUGUGUUAGGAGGGAAGAACAUAUGUGUAAGGAACGGAGCACAUCGUGACGGUACCUAAUCAGAAAGCCACGGCUAACUACGUG
Molecule: ribosomal RNA, 497 nt
Filed under: uncultured bacterium
Lineage: Bacteria
Description: partial 16S ribosomal RNA
Rfam family: Bacterial small subunit ribosomal RNA
Source: RNAcentral